GACGAACCGUCCAAACGUUAUUCGGAAUUACUGGGCUUAAAGGGUGCGUAGGCGGCGCGGAAAGUUGGGUGUGAAAUCCCUCGGCUCAACCGAGGAACUGCGCCCAAUACUACCGUGCUCGAGGGAGAUAGAGGUGAGCGGAACUUAGGGUGGAGCGGUGAAAUGCGUUGAUAUCCUAAGGAACACCGGUGGCGAAAGCGGCUCACUGGAUCUCUUCUGACGCUGAGGCACGAAAGCUAGGGUAGCGAACGGG
RNAcentral lists this ribosomal RNA (253 nucleotides) under uncultured bacterium. RNAcentral's name for it is "partial 16S ribosomal RNA". It matches the Rfam family "Bacterial small subunit ribosomal RNA", at positions 524 to 776 of the family's 1533-position model. The record is from RNAcentral.